This 1375-nucleotide long non-coding RNA is filed under the name Canis lupus familiaris (dog). RNAcentral's name for it is "lncRNA (ENSCAFG00000052891.1)". The record is from RNAcentral. Lineage: Eukaryota; Metazoa; Chordata; Mammalia; Carnivora; Canidae.
CGAAGGCUUUUUGGACGCGCUGCUCGCCCUCGUCCGUGACAUUCCGACGCGGCUGUGACGGGGCCGGGGUGCGCACCGCAGGCCUGGGUGGCCGCGUCCGGGGCGGGGGGCUGUGCCCUCGACGGGAGGGCCGCGGGGCUGGGGGCGGGGCGGGGGCGGGGCGGGGGCGGGGCGGGGCGGGGCUGGGGCUGGGGGCGUGGUUGGCGGGGGCGGGACGGGGGGCGUGGCUGGGCGGGGCGUGGCUGGGGGCGGGGCGGGGCGGUGGCCCGGCGCGCAGCAGGUGUCCCGCGGCCCCGACGACAGUCCUUGUCCGUGCCGGUGUCUACCCUCUGACGUCUGCGAGCGCCGUCCGUGUCCUCAGUUCUUGCCAAAAAUACAGCCACGGGGCCCUGACACUUCUGCCGAAACACUUGAAGGGUCUGGGAACCCGGGUUUACGCACGGGGUCCGGGGGGCUUGGCCCCGCCCCCGCCCAGCCCCGCCCCCGCCCGCCCCUCCGUCCCGCCCUCGGCCCCGCCCCCGCCCCCGCCCAGCCCCGCCCCCGCCCGCCCGUCGCCCCGCCCCUCCGUCCCGCCCCGCCCCGCCCGCCCGCCCGUCGCCCCGCCCCCGCCCGGUGCCCGCCCCCUCUGCUCCGCGGGCCGCAGGGUGGAGGCUGGCGGUGGAGCGACCUCGCCCGGUCGCGGGGUUCCGCGGAGGCUGGGUCCCCGGCCUGGAGCGGGGAGUCGGUGGGAGGAGCGGGGCUCCCGCGGGCGAGCUGGGCCGGGGCUCCGCGUGCCGCUCGGCUGACGGGUUCGGAGGGAGCUGGCCUGCAGAUUCUCCCCCAACCGGAGGAGGACAGCUCUGACCGGCCUCUUCGCGUUAGCUUGUUCUUAAACACACCUGUGAGACUCACUUGGGGUUUCCUGUUCAAAACCAGAUUCUGGGGAUCCCUGCGGGGCUCAGUGGUGGAGCACCUGCCUUCGGCCCACGGCGUGACCCCGGGGUCCCAGGAUGGAGUCCCGCGUCCGGCUCCCUGCGUGGAGCCUGCUUCUCCCUCUGCCCGUGUCUCUGCCUCUCUCUGUGUGUGUCUCUCGUGAAUAAAUAAAUAAAAAUCUUAAACAAGCAAACCCAAAACAGAUUCUGGAGCCUUACCUCAAAUCCAUUAAAGUGUCACCUACAGGAGAGUAACACGUGACUGUUAUUUUGCCUGCUCCAGGGACUCUCACAGUAGGGAGGUUGGAGGAUGCUAGAGCUGUAAGAACAGGUGCUGCUUGGGGGGACCAGGUGACUAACCGGAGGGAGCCUUCUGGGUGAGGGAGUUCCGCAGUGGAAGAGCUUCACUGGGUUAAGCUUGUGUGUCGCUUUCCUGCCAGACACGCGGCUCCUGGUGUGGCGGC